Molecule: non-coding RNA, 28 nt
Filed under: Mus musculus (house mouse)
Lineage: Eukaryota; Metazoa; Chordata; Mammalia; Rodentia; Muridae
Source: RNAcentral
UGGUGAAUGCGUGGAGGUGCUCUCUUCU